RNAcentral lists this ribosomal RNA (1489 nucleotides) under Lactiplantibacillus plantarum. RNAcentral's name for it is "bacterial SSU rRNA". It matches the Rfam family "Bacterial small subunit ribosomal RNA". Lineage: Bacteria; Bacillati; Bacillota; Bacilli; Lactobacillales; Lactobacillaceae. The record is from RNAcentral.
GACGAACGCUGGCGGCGUGCCUAAUACAUGCAAGUCGAACGAACUCUGGUAUUGAUUGGUGCUUGCAUCAUGAUUUACAUUUGAGUGAGUGGCGAACUGGUGAGUAACACGUGGGAAACCUGCCCAGAAGCGGGGGAUAACACCUGGAAACAGAUGCUAAUACCGCAUAACAACUUGGACCGCAUGGUCCGAGUUUGAAAGAUGGCUUCGGCUAUCACUUUUGGAUGGUCCCGCGGCGUAUUAGCUAGAUGGUGGGGUAACGGCUCACCAUGGCAAUGAUACGUAGCCGACCUGAGAGGGUAAUCGGCCACAUUGGGACUGAGACACGGCCCAAACUCCUACGGGAGGCAGCAGUAGGGAAUCUUCCACGAUGGACGAAAGUCUGAUGGAGCAACGCCGCGUGAGUGAAGAAGGGUUUCGGCUCGUAAAACUCUGUUGUUAAAGAAGAACAUAUCUGAGAGUAACUGUUCAGGUAUUGACGGUAUUUAACCAGAAAGCCACGGCUAACUACGUGCCAGCAGCCGCGGUAAUACGUAGGUGGCAAGCGUUGUCCGGAUUUAUUGGGCGUAAAGCGAGCGCAGGCGGUUUUUUAAGUCUGAUGUGAAAGCCUUCGGCUCAACCGAAGAAGUGCAUCGGAAACUGGGAAACUUGAGUGCAGAAGAGGACAGUGGAACUCCAUGUGUAGCGGUGAAAUGCGUAGAUAUAUGGAAGAACACCAGUGGCGAAGGCGGCUGUCUGGUCUGUAACUGACGCUGAGGCUCGAAAGUAUGGGUAGCAAACAGGAUUAGAUACCCUGGUAGUCCAUACCGUAAACGAUGAAUGCUAAGUGUUGGAGGGUUUCCGCCCUUCAGUGCUGCAGCUAACGCAUUAAGCAUUCCGCCUGGGGAGUACGGCCGCAAGGCUGAAACUCAAAGGAAUUGACGGGGGCCCGCACAAGCGGUGGAGCAUGUGGUUUAAUUCGAAGCUACGCGAAGAACCUUACCAGGUCUUGACAUACUAUGCAAAUCUAAGAGAUUAGACGUUCCCUUCGGGGACAUGGAUACAGGUGGUGCAUGGUUGUCGUCAGCUCGUGUCGUGAGAUGUUGGGUUAAGUCCCGCAACGAGCGCAACCCUUAUUAUCAGUUGCCAGCAUUAAGUUGGGCACUCUGGUGAGACUGCCGGUGACAAACCGGAGGAAGGUGGGGAUGACGUCAAAUCAUCAUGCCCCUUAUGACCUGGGCUACACACGUGCUACAAUGGAUGGUACAACGAGUUGCGAACUCGCGAGAGUAAGCUAAUCUCUUAAAGCCAUUCUCAGUUCGGAUUGUAGGCUGCAACUCGCCUACAUGAAGUCGGAAUCGCUAGUAAUCGCGGAUCAGCAUGCCGCGGUGAAUACGUUCCCGGGCCUUGUACACACCGCCCGUCACACCAUGAGAGUUUGUAACACCCAAAGUCGGUGGGGUAACCUUUUAGGAACCAGCCGCCUAAGGUGGGACAGAUGAUUAGGGUG